UAUACAUGCAAGUCGAGCGAACUGAUUAGAAGCUUGCUUCUAUGACGUUAGCGGCGGACGGGUGAGUAACACGUGGGCAACCUGCCUGUAAGACUGGGAUAACUUCGGGAAACCGAAGCUAAUACCGGAUAGGAUCUUCUCCUUCAUGGGAGAUGAUUGAAAGAUGGUUUCGGCUAUCACUUACAGAUGGGCCCGCGGUGCAUUAGCUAGUUGGUGAGGUAACGGCUCACCAAGGCAACGAUGCAUAGCCGACCUGAGAGGGUGAUCGGCCACACUGGGACUGAGACACGGCCCAGACUCCUACGGGAGGCAGCAGUAGGGAAUCUUCCGCAAUGGACGAAAGUCUGACGGAGCAACGCCGCGUGAGUGAUGAAGGCUUUCGGGUCGUAAAACUCUGUUGUUAGGGAAGAACAAGUACGAGAGUAACUGCUCGUACCUUGACGGUACCUAACCAGAAAGCCACGGCUAACUACGUGCCAGCAGCCGCGGUAAUACGUAGGUGGCAAGCGUUAUCCGGAAUUAUUGGGCGUAAAGCGCGCGCAGGCGGUUUCUUAAGUCUGAUGUGAAAGCCCACGGCUCAACCGUGGAGGGUCAUUGGAAACUGGGGAACUUGAGUGCAGAAGAGAAAAGCGGAAUUCCACGUGUAGCGGUGAAAUGCGUAGAGAUGUGGAGGAACACCAGUGGCGAAGGCGGCUUUUUGGUCUGUAACUGACGCUGAGGCGCGAAAGCGUGGGGAGCAAACAGGAUUAG
RNAcentral lists this ribosomal RNA (750 nucleotides) under Priestia megaterium. RNAcentral's name for it is "bacterial SSU rRNA". It matches the Rfam family "Bacterial small subunit ribosomal RNA", at positions 50 to 781 of the family's 1533-position model. The record is from RNAcentral. Lineage: Bacteria; Bacillati; Bacillota; Bacilli; Caryophanales; Bacillaceae.